Molecule: ribosomal RNA, 468 nt
Filed under: uncultured bacterium
Lineage: Bacteria
Description: partial 16S ribosomal RNA
Rfam family: Bacterial small subunit ribosomal RNA
Source: RNAcentral
GACGAACGCUGGCGGCGUGCUUAACACAUGCAAGUCGAACGGAAAGGCCCUGCUUUUUUGGGGUGCUCGAGUGUCGAACGGUUGAUUACCACGUGAUUAACCUGCCCUUGACUUUGGGCUAACUUCAGGAAACUGGGGCUAAUACCGGAUAGGUGCUCCUGCUUCAUGUCUGGGGUUGGCAAGUUUCGGCGGUUGGGGAUGGACUCGCGGCUUAUCAGCUUGUUGGUGGGGUAGUGGCUUACCAAGUCUUUGACGGGUAGCCGGACUGAGAGGGUGACAGGGCACAGGGGGACUGAGAUACGGACAAGACUCAGACGGGGGGGAGAAGUGGGAAAUAUUGCACAAGGGGCGGAAGCCUGAUGCAGCAACGCCGCGGGCGGGAUAACUGCCUGCGGGUUGUAAACCGCUUUCGCCUGGGACGAAGAGUGAGUGACGGUAAUAGAUAAAGAAGCACCGGCUAACUACGUG